This 25-nucleotide ribosomal RNA is filed under the name Trebouxia arboricola. RNAcentral's name for it is "18S ribosomal RNA". The record is from RNAcentral. Lineage: Eukaryota; Viridiplantae; Chlorophyta; Trebouxiophyceae; Trebouxiales; Trebouxiaceae.
AGGUGAAACUGCGGAAGGAUCAUUG